RNAcentral lists this ribosomal RNA (207 nucleotides) under uncultured bacterium. Its description in RNAcentral is "partial 16S ribosomal RNA". It matches the Rfam family "Bacterial small subunit ribosomal RNA", at positions 568 to 774 of the family's 1533-position model. The record is from RNAcentral.
CACGUAGGCGGCCAUUCAAGUCAGAGGUGAAAGCCCGGGGCUCAACCCCGGAACUGCCUUUGAAACUAGAUGGCUUGAAUCUUGGAGAGGCGAGUGGAAUUCCGAGUGUAGAGGUGAAAUUCGUAGAUAUUCGGAGGAACACCAGUGGCGAAGGCGGCUUACUGGUCCAUUACUGACGCUGAGGUGCGAAGGCGUGGGGAGCAAACA